ACUCCUACGGGAGGCAGCAGUGGGGAAUAUUGCACAAUGGGCGUAAGCCUGAUGCAGCAACGCCGCGUGAGGGACGACGGCCUUCGGGUUGUAAACCUCUUUUAGUAGGGAAGAAGCGAAAGUGACGGUACCUGCAGAAAAAGCACCGGCUAACUACGUGCCAGCAGCCGCGGUAAUACGUAGGGUGCAAGCGUUAUCCGGAAUUAUUGGGCGUAAAGAGCUCGUAGGCGGUUUGUCGCGUCUGCUGUGAAAACUGGAGGCUCAACCUCCAGCCUGCAGUGGGUACGGGCAGACUAGAGUGCGGUAGGGGAGAUUGGAAUUCCUGGUGUAGCGGUGGAAUGCGCAGAUAUCAGGAGGAACACCGAUGGCGAAGGCAGAUCUCUGGGCCGUAACUGACGCUGAGGAGCGAAAGCAUGGGGAGCGAACAGGAUUAGAUACCCUGGUAGUCCAUGCCGUACACGUUGGGAACUAGAUGUAGGGUCCAUUCCACGGAUUCUGUGUCGCAGCUAACGCAUUAAGUUCCCCGCCUGGGGAGUACGGCCGCAAGGCUAAAACUCAAAGGAAUUGACGGGGGCCCGCACAAGCGGCGGAGCAUGCGGAUUAAUUUGAUGCAACGCGAAGAACCUUACCAAGGCUUGACAUAUACCGGAAAAGUUCAGAAAUGUUCUCCCCGCAAGGUCGGUAUACAGGUGGUGCAUGGUUGUCGUCAGCUCGUGUCGUGAGAUGUUGGGUUAAGUCCCGCAACGAGCGCAACCCUCUUUUUAAGUUGCCACCACGUAAUGGUGGGAACUCAUAGGAGACUGCCGGGGUCAACUCGGA
This 819-nucleotide ribosomal RNA is filed under the name uncultured Actinomycetes bacterium. RNAcentral describes it as "bacterial SSU rRNA". It matches the Rfam family "Bacterial small subunit ribosomal RNA", at positions 335 to 1167 of the family's 1533-position model. Lineage: Bacteria; Bacillati; Actinomycetota; Actinomycetes. The record is from RNAcentral.